RNAcentral lists this ribosomal RNA (497 nucleotides) under uncultured bacterium. RNAcentral's name for it is "partial 16S ribosomal RNA". It matches the Rfam family "Bacterial small subunit ribosomal RNA", at positions 28 to 507 of the family's 1533-position model. The record is from RNAcentral.
GAUGAACGCUGGCGGCGUGCCUAAUACAUGCCAGUCGAGCGAACGGACGAGAAGCUUGCUUCUCUGAUGUUAGCGGCGGACGGGUGAGUAACACGUGGAUAACCUACCUAUAAGACUGGGAUAACUUCGGGAAACCGGAGCUAAUACCGGAUGAUAUUUUGAACCGCAUGGUUCAAAAGUGAAAGACGGUCUUGCUGUCACUUAUAGAUGGAUCCGCGCUGCAUUAGCUAGUUGGUAAGAUAACGGCUUACCAAGGCAACGAUGCAUAGCCGACCUGAGAGGGUGAUCGGCCACACUGGAACUGAGACACGGUCCAGACUCCUACGGGAGGCAGCAGUAGGGAAUCUUCCGCAAUGGGCGAAAGCCUGACGGAGCAACGCCGCGUGAGUGAUGAAGGUCUUCGGAUCGUAAAACUCUGUUAUUAGGGAAGAACAUAUGUGUAAGUAACUGUGCACAUCUUGACGGUACCUAAUCAGAAAGCCACGGCUAACUACGUG